This is a long non-coding RNA of Osmia bicornis bicornis, 1717 nucleotides long. RefSeq lists it as uncharacterized. The record is from RefSeq and is a predicted model, not a curated record. The transcript has 3 exons. Lineage: Eukaryota; Metazoa; Arthropoda; Insecta; Hymenoptera; Megachilidae.
UUUUAUCGAAAAGAAGACCAAAGUCAUCUAUUCGAGAUACAUAGAGCAGUAUGUAGAUACAUAUGUAUGUAUACUGGUAUAGGUUUACGAAGAAUCGUACUUUGUGCCAUAGCGCUAGCUGGGGGGCAGAAUCUUCUCUCUGCUCUUCUUCACGAUACAUACAUAGUAGCAAUUUCGCUGGUGUUGGUGUUUGGGGUAUUUCAUGACGACAGAUGAGUUGAAUAAGUUAAUCUUUUCGAUUACCGAAACUACAUUAUUUCUAGUUUAUCAAAGGAGAGAAAACUUUUGGUGACUUGCAACUACAUAACACGAAUUCAUGCAGUGAUUAUACUCUAUCAUUCCUGUAGUUAUCAGCCUCGUUCGAUGAAUGACGGUGCAUUGAUAGAUGGUAGUAGAUAUUAAUUCCGGUCGGCAGGGGUUGAACGUAUCAGCUAUUUCGUGUCUAAAGAAUUAAGAGACUUCCCCUUUCGCAGCUGGCAAGUUAAGCUCGCAUCCGGACGUGAGACGAAGCGGAAGGAAGGGGACGUGUGACGUCGCGAUUAAACUGAAUUGAACGAGCUUACUCAAUUAUACCUGGAGAUAUGUAGGAGUACCUUGAGACAGAGAGAAAGAGAGAAAGAAUAAUUUCAAAAUGUCAGGCUGCACUAAAAGUUGAAAAGCCUCGUGUAAACGGGCUUUACACAACGAUAUCGAAGCUUUUUCAAAUGAUCGUCUAGUCAUCGAGUCGUUGUACGGUGCAGUAGUUGUGCGUGCCUUUUUAAAAGCAUCUUGAACGAGACGAGGUUCGAUAAUAUGAUUAAUAACUCGUCUCGUAGGCAUCGUCAAGGGAAAUCGUCCUACACAUGGGUGUAUUUUUGCCGUAUAUUCUACAUAUAUAUAUUAUGUAUCUAUACGUGAUGUAUAUUACGUAAUUAUAAUCGAUGGUUAGAAACCUUAACGAUGGUUAGAAUGCUUUAAUUAAAAUGGUCCCGGAUUGAAUCCGAGAGGUUUUUCUAAAAGGAAAAAAACUGCGUUGAUUGCGAUGAAAUAUGCUAAAAAUAAUUGUUAUUCAAGUUUCAGACGCAUCAUUUUUAAACGAUAUCUUCUUCGUUGGGUAGAUUUGUUUUCUUCGCUCGAAAUAGUCUCCUCGUUGUCUCAAGGUCUAUUCUUAUCUUAAGUACACAGGUAUUCGUCAUCUUCCGUUUUUCAAUUUCCAAACAAGCUAACGUAUAGACGCAUUUUCGAUCAAUGGAUUUCCUGCUGUUAGUCCUUGGAUAAGUUGAAAACGUCACACGAAAACAGCGAUCUAUGAAUGGAAACGAGUCUCGGAUCAGUCGGCAAGCAAGGACGACUAAUUAUAGCGUUAGUAUCUUUCAGCUUCGUUUUGAACGUUAACCACGCAUCGUCGAUGCAUACAUAUUUACAUAUGUAUAUGUAUAUGUAUGUAAGAGAGGCCUCUGUUUCUCGUGCUACGUGUAUAAAAUCACUUUCACGUGUUAUGAAACAGCCUGUAUACGCGUAUACGUAUUUAUCUACAGAUAUAUCGUGGAACGUUCAAUUCCGAGAUGGUAGGUACUCCUGCAAAUAGAGGACGUGACCCAGUUCGCGAUGGUGACGUAAAUUCAGGAAGGACACGCGAAUCACUAGCCUCUCUCCCUUCCAUCCUUUUUCUCUUUUGCAUCCCGUUACUCUCGAAUCCAGCGGAUGCCUCCUUACCUACUUUCGAGAUACGAUUCAA